This 108-nucleotide non-coding RNA is filed under the name Garciella nitratireducens. Its description in RNAcentral is "TPP sequence". It matches the Rfam family "TPP riboswitch aptamer (THI element)". Rfam says of the family: Vitamin B(1) in its active form thiamin pyrophosphate (TPP) is an essential coenzyme that is synthesised by coupling of pyrimidine and thiazole moieties in bacteria. RNAcentral also lists the same sequence under 1 other name. The record is from RNAcentral. Lineage: Bacteria; Bacillati; Bacillota; Clostridia; Eubacteriales; Eubacteriaceae.
UAUAUGUACUAGGGGAGCUGACUAGAGCAGCUGAGAAAAAGAUGAAUGUCUUUGACCCUUGAACUUGAUCUGGAUGAUGCCAGCGUAAGGAAGUAUUUUUUAUACUUA